RNAcentral lists this transfer RNA (75 nucleotides) under Dichotomosiphon tuberosus. Its description in RNAcentral is "tRNA-Trp". It matches the Rfam family "tRNA". Rfam says of the family: Transfer RNA (tRNA) molecules are approximately 80 nucleotides in length. Their secondary structure includes four short double-helical elements and three loops (D, anti-codon, and T loops). Further hydrogen bonds mediate the characteristic L-shaped molecular structure. tRNAs have two regions of fundamental functional importance: the anti-codon, which is responsible for specific mRNA codon recognition, and the 3' end, to which the tRNAs corresponding amino acid is attached (by aminoacyl-tRNA synthetases). tRNAs cope with the degeneracy of the genetic code in two manners: having more than one tRNA (with a specific anti-codon) for a particular amino acid; and 'wobble' base-pairing, i.e. permitting non-standard base-pairing at the 3rd anti-codon position. The record is from RNAcentral. Lineage: Eukaryota; Viridiplantae; Chlorophyta; Ulvophyceae; Bryopsidales; Dichotomosiphonaceae.
CGCGUUUUUAGUUCAAUUGGUAGAACGUAGGUUUCCAAAACCUAAUGCCGUGGGUUCAAUUCCUACAAAACGCGA